RNAcentral lists this ribosomal RNA (403 nucleotides) under uncultured bacterium. Its description in RNAcentral is "partial 16S ribosomal RNA". It matches the Rfam family "Bacterial small subunit ribosomal RNA", at positions 30 to 526 of the family's 1533-position model. The record is from RNAcentral.
AUUGAACGCUGGCGGCAGGCCUAACACAUGCAAGUCGAGCGAGCGGCGGACGGGUGAGUAAUGUAUGGGGACUGCCCGAUAGAGGGGGAUAACUACUGGAAACGGUGGCUAAUACCGCAUACUAUCGGAUAAACCAUUGGGGAUUAGUUAGUAGGUGGGGUAAAGGCUCAACUGGGCGACGCUCUCUAGCUGGUCUGAGAGGAUGAUCAGCAACACUGGGACUGAGACACGGCCCUGCCGCCGACGGAGGCAGCAGUGGUGAAUAUUGCACAAUGGGCGAAAGCCUAAUGCAGCCAUGCCGCGUGUAUGAAGAAGGCCGUAGGGUUGUAAAGUACUUUCAGCGGGGAGGCGUUACCUGCAGAAGAAGCACCGGCUAACUCCGUGCCAGCAGCCGCGGUAAUUC